This 484-nucleotide ribosomal RNA is filed under the name uncultured bacterium. RNAcentral's name for it is "partial 16S ribosomal RNA". It matches the Rfam family "Bacterial small subunit ribosomal RNA", at positions 29 to 507 of the family's 1533-position model. The record is from RNAcentral.
AUUGAACGCUGGCGGCAUGCUUUACACAUGCAAGUCGAACGGCAGCGCGGGCUUCGGCCUGGCGGCGAGUGGCGAACGGGUGAGUAAUGCAUCGGAACGUGCCCAGUAGUGGGGGAUAGCCCGGCGAAAGCCGGAUUAAUACCGCAUACGACCAGAGGGUGAAAGCGGGGGACCGAAAGGCCUCGCGCUAUUGGAGCGGCCGAUGUCGGAUUAGCUAGUUGGUGGGGUAAAGGCUUACCAAGGCGACGAUCCGUAGCUGGUCUGAGAGGACGACCAGCCACACUGGGACUGAGACACGGCCCAGACUCCUACGGGAGGCAGCAGUGGGGAAUUUUGGACAAUGGGCGCAACCCUGAUCCAGCCAUGCCGCGUGCGGGAAGAAGGCCUUCGGGUUGUAAACCGCUUUUGUUCGGGAAGAAAUCCUGUGGGCUAAUACCCCGGGGGGAUGACGGUACCGGAAGAAUAAGCACCGGCUAACUACGUG